AAUCCAUGCAUCGAACAUUUCCAAAUUAACUCCUUAAAUCAUUCCCAAGCUUCAUAUAAUGUCUCGUACUCUAUCUGCCAAAAAGAUAUGAUGUCAUUUCUAAGCUU
Molecule: non-coding RNA, 107 nt
Organism: Gossypium arboreum
Lineage: Eukaryota; Viridiplantae; Streptophyta; Magnoliopsida; Malvales; Malvaceae
Source: Rfam